This 200-nucleotide ribosomal RNA is filed under the name uncultured bacterium. RNAcentral describes it as "partial 16S ribosomal RNA". It matches the Rfam family "Bacterial small subunit ribosomal RNA", at positions 8 to 212 of the family's 1533-position model. The record is from RNAcentral.
AGAGUUUGAUCCUGGCUCAGAAUCAACGCUGGCGGCAUGCUUUACACAUGCAAGUCGAACGGACUUGAAGGGCUUGCUCUUCAAGUUAGUGGCGAACGGGUGAGUAAUGCAUCGGAACGUACCGUGUGAUGGGGGAUAACUAACCGAAAGGUUGGCUAAUACCGCAUACGCCCUGAGGGGGAAAGAGGGGGAUCGCAAGA